Molecule: ribosomal RNA, 749 nt
Filed under: uncultured cyanobacterium
Lineage: Bacteria; Bacillati; Cyanobacteriota
Description: bacterial SSU rRNA
Rfam family: Bacterial small subunit ribosomal RNA
Source: RNAcentral
AGAGUUUGAUCCUGGCUCAGGAUGAACGCUGGCGGUAUGCUUAACACAUGCAAGUCGAACGCAGUCCUUCGGGGCUGAGUGGCGGACGGGUGAGUAACGCGUGAGAAUCUGCCUAAAGGACUGGGACAACAGCUGGAAACGGCUGCUAAUACCAGAUAUGCCAGAAAGUGAAAAGGGGUAACCCGCCUUUUGAUGAGCUCGCGUCUGAUUAGCUAGUUGGUAGGGUAAAGGCCUACCAAGGCUCCGAUCAGUAACUGGUCUGAGAGGAUGACCAGUCACACUGGGACUGAGACACGGCCCAGACUCCUACGGGAGGCAGCAGUGGGGAAUUUUCCGCAAUGGGCGCAAGCCUGACGGAGCAAUACCGCGUGAGGGAGGAAGGCUCUUGGGUCGUAAACCUCUUUUCUCAGGGAAGAACACAAUGACGGUACCUGAGGAAUCAGCAUCGGCUAACUCCGUGCCAGCAGCCGCGGUAAUACGGAGGAUGCAAGCGUUAUCCGGAAUGAUUGGGCGUAAAGCGUCCGCAGGUGGCAGUGUAAGUCUGCUGUCAAAGGUCAGGGCUCAACCCUGAACAGGCAGUGGAAACUACACAGCUAGAGUGCGGUGGGGGCAGAGGGAAUUCCCAGUGUAGCGGUGAAAUGCGUAGAGAUUGGGAAGAACACCGGUGGCGAAAGCGCUCUGCUAGGCCGCAACUGACACUCAUGGACGAAAGCUAGGGGAGCGAAUGGGAUUAGAUACCCCCGUAGUCC